Long non-coding RNA from Bos taurus (domestic cattle), 2043 nucleotides. The record is from Ensembl. Lineage: Eukaryota; Metazoa; Chordata; Mammalia; Artiodactyla; Bovidae.
UUCAUAUACUUGGGAAUUUCCUGGAUGAAAUCUGAACUGGUCACUGGCCACAGAGGUCAAGGAGAGACAGAAGAGAGAGAGACCAUGCUCCGUUUGAGAGGCUCCAUCAAGAGGCUCCAUUGAGAGGCAGCAGGUGGGAUAAGGCAGAAAACUUAAAAGUCUCGCCUCCAAGGGGCUGUGCAAUGAAUAGAUCUCCACAUCUGUCCACCAAAUCUUAAAAGCUUAUAGAGAGGCCUCAUUGGGGUUCAGACACCUACUCAGUUUGGUAGGUCUCAACAACGUGUCACUCUCUGAAGGCGAGUCCCUGAAACCAUCUCCUACCCGGAGCACUGGGCAGAAGGUCACUCCAACAACAGAGGAGAGAGUGUGGUCCCUCCCACUGCCCGUGUGUAGCUCGUCGGGGGAGGGCGGGGUCAGCCCACCAUCCUGUGCCCUGGAUGACCUCCUCCAAUGAGGAUAGAGGAAUUAGCUUUCACAAUCACGGAAGCCAAGAAGACCUACAGUUAUCUGCCAGCCAGAGACCCAGAAGAGCCAGUGCUGUACUUCAGUCUGAAGUUCUGAGUCUGAGGUCUGAGAACUGGGGGAGCCGAUGGUGUAAGCCCUAGUCCAAGGGCAGGAGAAGAUAAGUCCCAGCUAAGCCGUGAGGCAGGGAAUAGGGUCAGGUUCUUCCUUCCUGCAUCUAUUCUUCUAUCCCAGCCAUGAAUGGAUUGGAUGAUUUUGUACCCACAUCAGGGAGAGAAUCUGCUUCACAGGGUCCAUGGAUUCAAGUGCCAAUGUCUCCAAAAACUCCCUCCCAGACAUCCCCAGAAAUGAUCUGGGGAUGAUCUCGGUACCUCGUGACCAGGAGCAGCAUAUUUCAAAUGCGAGGAUACAGGAGAACAGAAUCUUUCACAUCGCUGUUGUUGCUGUUUAGUUGCCGAGUCACGUCUGACUCUUCGCGAUCCCGUGGACUUUAAGCCCACCAGGCUCACUUGUUCACGGGAUUUUCCAGGCAACAAUACUGGAGUGGGUUGCCACUUCCUCCUCCAGGGGAUCUUCCUGACCCAGGGAUUGAACCUGAGUCUCUUUCAUUGGCAGGUGGAUUCUUUACCACUGAUUCACCUAGGAAGCCCAUCUUUCACAUUAGAGAAACUUGGACUCAGCUGUGUCCAGUUUGAGCUGGUUGAGACUGGCUAGGACAACGGACCCUCCCACUGGGCAUGUGGCAGUGUCCUCUCUGUGACCUUUGAUGUCAGAGGGCCAGGAGCUCCACCCUCAAAACAUGGCAACACCACAAGUUCUGGGCAUGCAGGCCUGGUUAUGUCUGCACAGAACGAUGAUGAUCACAGCUUUUCCUUAUUCCCACUUACCUUUCCCCAGGCUCCACACACAUUACAGCUCCAUCCCAUAAUUAUCCCAAGCCCCUCUCUUUCGGAGAGGUGGGUUUGGGAUCAGUUCUCCCAUCUCCUCUCUUGGCUGCAGUGUGAAUAAAGUCUUUGCUGCCAACCUCAGUGUCUUAGCCCUUGGCUUGCUGCACAUUGGGAAGGGAUGCCUGUAUGCUCAGUCUCUCAGUCGUGUUCCACUCUUUGCAACCCAUGGACUUUAGCCAAUCAGACUCUUCUCUCUAUGGGAUUUCCCAGGAAGAAAUCAGGCUUCCGGAGACAGCUGUCAUUAAUUGAAGUUAGGUCACACUGCAUCACAAACCUUCACCCCAGAACACUGAGUGCAAUAUUCUGGAUCGUAUCAGCUGCCUGUGUAGGACCCAUUCCUUCCAUGACGAAAUGUAUUUAAUUUGAUUUCUGAGUAUGAAUGACACACCUGUGAGAUAGAGUUUGGAAUUCAGUCUGCUCAUUUAACUGUAAAGAAAUACUCUAUUUGGUUCAAAAGUCAUCUUUUGGUUAUAAUAAUACUUGCCCCCUCAUCCGUAGUUCCUUCCUUCCUCCAUCCACUCACCCAUUAAUCCAUUAAUUUAUUCAAUAUUUAUUGUUCCUCUACAAUUGUAUGUGCUAUACAACCUUGUGAUGUUUUAGUUCAGAAAUACUGAAUAGGAAAUAAACUUUUCUC